Long non-coding RNA from Mangifera indica (mango), 1634 nucleotides. RefSeq lists it as uncharacterized. The record is from RefSeq and is a predicted model, not a curated record. The transcript is spliced from 6 exons. Lineage: Eukaryota; Viridiplantae; Streptophyta; Magnoliopsida; Sapindales; Anacardiaceae.
AUCCGCAUGGAAUGUGCAAUUUGUCCUAAUUUUAAACUCUGUGUAGAGUGCUUCAUUGUUGGAGCUGAAGUGACACCUCAUAAGAGCAAUCACCCCUACAAAGUUCAUGGACAAUCUCUCAUUCCCACUUAUAUGCCCUGACUUCAAUGCAGAUGAUGAAAUGCUGCUUCUAGAGAUGAGAUUGUCAAGUUAUUUCUCAAUCUGUUUGCAUGUCGGCAAAAUUGGUGGUAAAUGACUUUCAAUACACUGGGAGCCAAUCAAAAGUUGAAAUUGAUAUCAUUUUUAUCAGAUUCUAGUUGCAAGGUGGACUCAAUGUGAUUUCAGGAAUUUUCGUUGAGGAUCUAUAUAAUGAUGUUGUAUUUUUGAAACUUGAUUUACUUGAAAUAUUAUUUGAAAAUGUGAUUUUCGUGUUUUGUUGCUAGAUGAUUGCAGGAUCAUAAAGUGCAAACACAUUGAAUUGGAUGACUCUUGAAUAUAUUUAUCUCGUUAGCAUUAUAUUGUACUUCAACUUGAGCAAGUAUAAUUUGAUACGGAAUAAGCUGUUUAUAUUUUUAGUAAUUUGCUUUCGAAAUUGAUGAUCAUACCCAUAAUCAGAAAAUGUAGCUGGUGGUUUUAUUGAAAUUGAUAAUGGUAGAAUUUUAAGCAUGUGUACACUAGGUUUGGCUAAGUAGAAGUAAUGCUAAACUUGCAUGUUAAGGUUACAUGACUGAAACUCCAGAGCUGGUGAGAGUAUUCAUUUGAUGAUUGGAUCAUUUGGACCUGUCUUUCUCUUGUUGUCUGGUUCCUUUUUGAAGCCUUUUGUUUUCGGUUAUUCUUCAUUUUUUUUCACCACUGCUUAGUUGUGCAGAAAGCUAGGAAUAUUUCUUUUAUAUUCAUGUGUAAUGAACAAAUAUUUCUUUUAUAGAGUUGAAAAGCAGAUCACCAUGUUUCAAAUCCAAGCAUGUAAAAAUCUAAUAUAGAGCUACUUAAAUGACAAUUCUCCUUCCUCAAGUGUCAAGAUUGCAUCAAUUUCAGCAUUCUGGCCAUUCUCUGAACAAAUUUUUUGGGCUGAAAUUUUAGUUUGAAAGAAAUGCAUUGUUCUUUAUGAUUACAGAUAGUUUUGAGUCCUCCAGUGGAACUUUCAGAAUGAAGCCUCUGCGUAGAUUGUGUGGCGUUGCAGCUCAUGUUUCUUCUGUUUAAAUUAGAUGUGCAUGAAUGCUUCAAGACGAAGACUUUCUGUCGACAAGGCUUAAGCAUGCUAAGGUUAAAAGAGGUGAACUGGAAAUAUUGCUUGAAGAAUGAGCUUAAUACAGUCAUACAAUCAUUACAAAAUGAAUUUUCAGUGCUGUGUGAAAGAUUUGCAGAAUAAAAAGAGUGAGUGAGAUAGUAAAAUGAAAUGUCCAUCAACAUGCAGCAAAAUCAUCUGAUCUUGAUUGGGGCUAUCAGGAGAUGCAGAUGAAGCGAGGCUUUAUUUUAGACGAUCAAAGGAAGAGGCAGCUAAUUAAGGAUGUGGUCUCCUGGUAAUUUGCCAGAAAUCGGCUGGAAAUGGAAGAAAAGGCUGGAAAUGGACUCUAAUGUCUUUGUAAAUUAAAUAUCUAGUUCUUCAUGUCUAUGAUAAUCUUUUGGCUUAAAUAUCUACUUCCUUAUUAUUUUUA